AGCGAACGCUGGCGGCAGGCCUAACACAUGCAAGUCGAACGAACCUUUCGGGGUUAGUGGCGGACGGGUGAGUAACACGUGGGAACGUGCCUUUAGGUUCGGAAUAACUCAGGGAAACUUGUGCUAAUACCGAAUGUGCCCUUCGGGGGAAAGAUUAAUCGCCUUUAGAGCGGCCCGCGUCUGAUUAGCUAGUUGGUUGGGGUAAUGGCUCACCACGGCGACGAUCAGUAGCUGGUCUGAGAGGAGGAUCGGCCACAUUGGGACUGAGAUACGGCCCAAAAUCAGACGUGAGGCAGCAGUGGGGAAUAUUGCAAAAUGGGCUGAAGCUUGAUGAAGUAAAGUAGUGUGCGGGAGGAAGGCAGUCGGGUUGUAAACAGAUUACGCCUGUGACGAAGCGGGAGUGACGGUAAUGGGUAAAGAAGCACCGGCUCAUUAAGUG
This 439-nucleotide ribosomal RNA is filed under the name uncultured bacterium. Its description in RNAcentral is "partial 16S ribosomal RNA". It matches the Rfam family "Bacterial small subunit ribosomal RNA", at positions 29 to 507 of the family's 1533-position model. The record is from RNAcentral.